RNAcentral lists this ribosomal RNA (549 nucleotides) under Tricolia kochii. Its description in RNAcentral is "partial 16S ribosomal RNA". It matches the Rfam family "Bacterial large subunit ribosomal RNA", at positions 1809 to 2606 of the family's 2925-position model. Lineage: Eukaryota; Metazoa; Mollusca; Gastropoda; Trochida; Phasianellidae. The record is from RNAcentral.
AAAAACAUCGCUCCCUGUUUCAAACACCAUAGGGAGUCGGACCUGCCCAGUGACAUAACAUGUUAAACGGCUGCGGCUCAUACCGCAUUAAAGUAGCAUAAUAAUUUGCCUUUUAAUUGGAGGCUAGUAUGAAUGGUCUGACGAGAGCUCCGCUGUCUCUUUUUAAAUAUUUAGAAAUUAACCUAUAAGUGAAGAGGCUUAAAUUCUAUUGAGGGACGAAAAGACCCUAUUGAGCUUUAGUGAUAUCUCAGAAAACUUUUUACUCAUGCCUAUGCAUGAUCACCUUAAUUGUUAUACCUGCGAAUAAUCUUUAGCUGGGACGGCUAAGGAGCACCAAAAACCUCCUUAUACAUAAUAUAAAACUGUCAUGUAAAAGAUCCAGUACUUACUGAUCAAUGGAAAAAGUUACCAUAGGGAUAACAGCGUAAUCCCCUCAAAGAGCUCGUAUCAAAGAGGGGGUUUGCGACCUCGAUGUUGGACUAAGAUACCCCAAGGGUGCAGAAGCUCUUGAUGGUCGGUCUGUUCGACCGUUAAAAUCUUACGUGAUCU